UAGAGUUUGAUCCUGACUCAGGAUGAACGCUAGCUACAGGCUUAACACAUGCAAGUCGAGGGGAAACGGCAUUGAGUGCUUGCACUCUUUGGACGUCGACCGGCGCACGGGUGAGUAACGCGUAUCCCACCUUCCCAUUACUGUGGGAUAACCUGCCGAAAGGCAGACUAAUACCGCAUAGUCUUCGAUGACGGCAUCAGAUUUGAAGUAAAGAUUUAUCGGUAAUGGAUGGGGAUGCGUCUGAUUAGCUUGUUGGCGGGGUAACGGCCCACCAAGGCAACGAUCAGUAGGGGUUCUGAGAGGAAGGUCCCCCACAUUGGAACUGAGACACGGUCCAAACUCCUACGGGAGGCAGCAGUGAGGAAUAUUGGUCAAUGGACGGAAGUCUGAACCAGCCAAGUAGCGUGCAGGAUGACGGCCAUAUGGGUUGUAAACUGCUUUUGUAUGGGGAUAAAGUUAGGGACGUGUCCCUAUUUGCAGGUACCAUACGAAUAAGGACCGGCUAAUUCCGUGCCAGCAGCCGCGGUAAUACGGAAGGUCCAGGCGUUAUCCGGAUUUAUUGGGUUUAAAGGGAGCGUAGGCUGGAGAUUAAGUGUGUUGUGAAAUGUAGACGCUCAACGUCUGAAUUGCAGCGCAUACUGGUUUCCUUGAGUGCGCACAACGUUGGCGGAAUUCGUCGUGUAGCGGUGAAAUGCUUAGAUAUGACGAAGAACUCCGAUUGCGAAGGCAGCUGACGGGAGCGCAACUGACGCUUAAGCUCGAAGGUGCGGGUAUCAAACAGGAUUAGAUGCCCUGGUAGUCCGCACAGUA
Molecule: ribosomal RNA, 810 nt
Filed under: uncultured bacterium
Lineage: Bacteria
Description: bacterial SSU rRNA
Rfam family: Bacterial small subunit ribosomal RNA
Source: RNAcentral